AACGGCGUAGUGAAGCGGCAAAAGCUCAAAUUUGAAAUCUGGCUCCUUCGGGGCCCGAGUUGUAAUUUGCAGAGGAUGCUUCGGGGGCGGUUGCGGUCUAAGUCCCCUGGAACGGGGCGUCGUAGAGGGUGAGAAUCCCGUCUUCGGCCGGUCAACCGCGCCCGUGUGAAGCUCCUUCGACGAGUCGAGUUGUUUGGGAAUGCAGCUCUAAAUGGGUGGUAAAUUUCAUCUAAAGCUAAAUAUUGGUGGGAGACCGAUAGCGCACAAGUAGAGUGAUCGAAAGAUGAAAAGCACUUUGAAAAGAGAGUUAAACAGCAUGUGAAAUUGUUGAAAGGGAAGCGCUUGCAGCCAGACUCGGCCGCGGAGGCUCAGCGGGCAUUCUUGCCCGUGCACUCCCCCGCGGUCGGGCCAGCAUCAGUUUAGGCGGUCGGUCAAAGGCCCCCGGAAUGUGUCGCCUUCGGGCGUCUUAUAGCCGGGGGUACAAUGCGGCCAGCCCGGACUGAGGAACGCGCUUCGGCACGGAUGCUGGCAUAAUGGCUGUAAGCGACCCGUCUUGAAACACGGACCAAGGAGUCUAACAUCCACGCGAGUGUUCGGGUGUCAAACCCGUACGCGCAGUGAAAGCGAACGGAGGUGGGAGCCCUUAAGGGUGCACCAUCGACCGAUCCUGAAGUCUUCGGAUGGAUUUGAGUAAGAGCGUGGCUGUUGGGACCCGAAAGAUGGUGAACUAUGCCUGAAUAGGGGUGAAGCCAGAGGAAACUCUGGUGGAGGCUCGCAGCGGUUUCUGACGUGCAAAUCGAUCGUCAAAUUU
This 811-nucleotide ribosomal RNA is filed under the name [Chrysosporium] lobatum. RNAcentral describes it as "Chrysosporium lobatum partial large subunit ribosomal RNA". It matches the Rfam family "Eukaryotic large subunit ribosomal RNA", at positions 85 to 912 of the family's 3401-position model. The record is from RNAcentral. Lineage: Eukaryota; Fungi; Ascomycota; Eurotiomycetes; Onygenales; Onygenaceae.